This 282-nucleotide small RNA is filed under the name Caenorhabditis elegans. RNAcentral's name for it is "Unclassified non-coding RNA Y80D3A.18". Lineage: Eukaryota; Metazoa; Nematoda; Chromadorea; Rhabditida; Rhabditidae. The record is from RNAcentral.
GAGUUGACGAAAAAGAUGUGGCCCGUGGUACUUGGCUAGGAAUGGAUGCACAUGGAAAAGUCGGAAUGUUGCUUUCAAUCACCCAACCUGUCGACUCAAAACACAAAAAUGCGCCUAGCAGAGGCUAGUUGGCGCAUCUCUCGAUAACGCGCAAAUUUCCGAUUUUCAGGUGGAAUUGUCAAUGAAUACUUGAAAAGUGGCACGGAUACAACUAAAUUUUACGAAAAUUUGCGAGAAAAUGCGGAAAAAUUCAAUGGUUUUCAGUUUGUUGGAGUUGAAAAG